RNAcentral lists this ribosomal RNA (388 nucleotides) under Pseudechiniscus sp. F7211. Its description in RNAcentral is "SSU rRNA". It matches the Rfam family "Eukaryotic small subunit ribosomal RNA", at positions 40 to 426 of the family's 1831-position model. Lineage: Eukaryota; Metazoa; Tardigrada; Heterotardigrada; Echiniscoidea; Echiniscidae. The record is from RNAcentral.
AAGAUUAAGCCAUGCAUGUCUCAGUACUUGCUUUUACAAGGCGAAACCGCGAAUGGCUCAUUAAAUCAGUUAUGGUUCAAUUGAUCGUAAAUUAUACACGGAUAACUGUGGUAAUUCUAGAGCUAAUACGUGCAAAUAGCUCGGUCCCUUGUGGAACGGGCGCAGUUAUUAGAUCAAAACUAAUCCGGCCUUCGGGUCGGUAAAAUUGGUGACUCUGAAUAACCGAAGCGGAGCGCGUGGUCUCGUACCGGCGCCAGAUCUUUCAAGUGUCUGACUUAUCAGCUUGUUGUUAGGUUACGUUCCUAACAAGGCUUCAACGGGUAACGGGGUAUCAGGGUCCGAUACCGGAGAGGGAGCCUGAGAAACGGCUACCACAUCCAAGACAUAC